GACGGAAGCUCCACACAGGGACACUGUUGACUGGUUGACUCCAACCCUAGUACUCAUACCGAUAAUCCUCAUUCCAGUCAUCUUCAUUAUCAUACCCUGAGGUGCUCAUAACCAUGGGACUGAUAGGAAAAUCUACCCCCCUUAAAGAAAGACUUGCUGAGGGGCAACGUAAAGAAACUGGUAUAGUCCCACCCGGUGAAUUAACUUGCAUAGGUGUUUUCAUUGCAACUAGUGGAAGGCUAUGAACUCUAACAAAUGCUUGUGAUAUAAAAGUAUGCGA
RNAcentral lists this long non-coding RNA (280 nucleotides) under Sorghum bicolor (sorghum). Its description in RNAcentral is "long non-coding RNA (SBIC_LNC015368)". Lineage: Eukaryota; Viridiplantae; Streptophyta; Magnoliopsida; Poales; Poaceae. The record is from RNAcentral.